RNAcentral lists this ribosomal RNA (404 nucleotides) under uncultured bacterium. RNAcentral's name for it is "bacterial SSU rRNA". It matches the Rfam family "Bacterial small subunit ribosomal RNA", at positions 355 to 776 of the family's 1533-position model. The record is from RNAcentral.
UGAGGAAUAUUGGGCAAUGGGGGCAACCCUGACCCAGCCAUGCCGCGUGAGUGAAGAAGGUUUUCGAAUUGUAAAGCUCUUUCGGAUGUGAAGAUGAUGACGGUAGCAUCUAAAGAAGCCCCGGCAAACUUCGUGCCAGCAGCCGCGGUAAUACGAAGGGGGCGAGCGUUGUUCGGAAUUACUGGGCGUAAAGGGUGUGUAGGUUGACGUGUAAGAUAGCGGUGAAAUCCCAGAGCUCAACUUUGGAAUUGCCAUUAUAACUAUGCGUCUAGAAUUAUAGAGAGGAUAGCGGAAUACCCAGUGUAGAGGUGAAAUUCGUAGAUAUUGGGUAGAACACCGGUGGCGAAGGCGGCUAUCUGGCUAUAUAUUGACACUGAGGCACGAAAGCAUGGGGAUCAAACAGG